RNAcentral lists this ribosomal RNA (500 nucleotides) under uncultured bacterium. Its description in RNAcentral is "partial 16S ribosomal RNA". It matches the Rfam family "Bacterial small subunit ribosomal RNA", at positions 29 to 523 of the family's 1533-position model. The record is from RNAcentral.
AUUGAACGCUGGCGGCAUGCCUUACACAUGCAAGUCGUACGGCAGCACGGGAGCAAUCCUAGUGGCGAGUGGCGAACGGGUGAGUAAUAUAUCGGAACGUGCCCAGUCGUGGGGGAUAACGCAGCGAAAGCUGUGCGAAUACCGCAUACGAUCUAAGGAUGAAAGCGGGGGAUCGCACGACCUCGCGCGAUCGGAGCGGCCGAUAUCAGAUUGGAUAGUCGGUGGGGUAAAGGCCCACCAAGGCGAGGAUGUGUAGCUGGUCUGAGAGGACGACCAGCAACACUGGAACUUGGACACGGUCCAGACUCCUACGGGAGGCAGCAGUGGGGAAUUUUGGACAAUGGGCGCAAGCCUGAUCCAGCAAUGCCGCGUGCAGGAUGAAGGCCUUCGGGUUGUAAACUGCUUUUGUACGGAACGAAACGGCCCUUUCUAAUACAGGGGGCUAAUGACGGUACCGUAAGAAUAAGCACCGGCUAACUACGUGCCAGCAGCCGCAGUAA